RNAcentral lists this ribosomal RNA (231 nucleotides) under Clostridioides sp. ES-S-0077-01. RNAcentral's name for it is "partial 23S ribosomal RNA". It matches the Rfam family "Bacterial large subunit ribosomal RNA", at positions 2692 to 2925 of the family's 2925-position model. Lineage: Bacteria; Bacillati; Bacillota; Clostridia; Peptostreptococcales; Peptostreptococcaceae. The record is from RNAcentral.
CCGGGAUGGACGUACCUCUGGUGUACCAGUUGUCCUGCCAAGGGCAUGGCUGGGUAGCUAUGUACGGAAUGGAUAAGCGCUGAAAGCAUCUAAGCGCGAAGCCAACUUCAAGAUAAGAUUUCCCACCGCAAGGGUAAGACCCCAGAAAGACUAUCUGGUUGAUAGGUCGAAGGUGUAAGUGCAGCAAUGUAUUUAGCUUAUCGAUACUAAUAGGUCGAGGACUUGACCAAU